Molecule: non-coding RNA, 1691 nt
Organism: Oncorhynchus mykiss (rainbow trout)
Lineage: Eukaryota; Metazoa; Chordata; Actinopteri; Salmoniformes; Salmonidae
Source: RefSeq, a predicted model, not a curated record
UGAACAUUUAGGUUGUAACCUUCUUGGCAAUAAAAGUGCUUUUGUUUUGAAUUUACCCUCUAUUUGAAACCUAGCCUAGUUCUGGUUAGUGGCACCACACCUCCCCACUGGCUUCCACAUUCAGUGGAAAAUGCUGGCAGAGCUCUACCGGAUGACCUUGAGCUAGGUUGUGUUUCUGGUACAUUGCUCCUUGGAGGCAUGGUGAGUUGUUUUGGGGUUUAGAUGGCAAAGACAAGAUAACUGCAAGUAUGGUGCCUGUACCUAGGGGUGUAUGAGUGGCUGGAAGAAAAUGGUGCAAGGUUCCUUCUGGACUUCAUGAGAAGAAUUGGUGGGCUGAAGAUGAACAGUGGAGCACUUUUGAUCUCCCUCUGUUCCCAAUAAGUCUACUAGUGUCCCUGAAGACCUCCCUGGUCUGUAUGAAUGGUGUGGAGAAACCACACGCCAUUUGACUCUGUGCCCUUGCUGUCGUGAUGACUGGUGUGGCAGCUGUGAAAUGGAUUAACAGUGAAAAUGAUGCCCACGUCCCAUGAAUCCUGAUGCCCAUGCGGUCUUACUGAAGAUGAUUGACUCAGUUACAAUAGUUGCGACCACACCAAACCACCGUUAAGGACGUGGCACAGGUUCUAUCAGACUCACUCUGCAGAAGAAGACUUUCCUUCCAUGAUGGUCUGCUGGAGCUGACUUGCUGCUGGCCUGUUCAGUGUCAACCAGAAGAGCCUGCACAGUCACUGCCCUCAUGCCCUAAAGAAGUACUGUGCCACUGGGGCUGCCACAGAAGAAAUCCUCUACCCUACUACUGGGGUGCCACUACAAGCCAUGUGGUCAGCCUGGAAUGCGCCCAUCCGCUUGAAGCCUUGGGAUGGGUGAUCUACGAGCCUUCCUCAUGAGAAGGAAGUGUGGCGCCGUGAGGGGCACCAGCACCACAAGCCAUUUAGUCAGCCUGGUAUGCACCCACUGGCAUGAGAACACAGGCACAGCUGACUUCAAAAGACUCAUUACGGGUGUGGCUGGCUACUCGAUCAGCCACCACUUAUCAGCUGCUGGUUUAGCACGAGAGCGAGGCCUGAGCGAGCAGGUAGCUCUGUUUCCAAGUUAUUUGCUGAACAUUUUAAUUUAAUUUAGGUUGUAACCUUUUUAUAGGGUAAAUUCAAAAGAGCUUUUAUUGCCUAUCAUGAGCCGCCUAUCAGAAACCUUGCUCUGAGUCCAAUCCCACAAACCAGGUUUGAGAAGUUAGCGAGGUGACUUUGGUCAACUGAGUUCACGGUACCACGAAAGUGGCUCACCUUUUAGCCAGGCACAUUUUAUAUGGCAAUGAAUCCUUCAGAACUAACCUGCUCUGGGCUAGGUUAAUACAUUUAUCCUGAAUGAAGUUUCUAGACCAUGAGUUGGGGACCAAUGUAAUCAGAUACCCUCCCUCACGCAAAGAAUGUCAACAUCUCCUUCAUUUGAGCAAGAUGAUUUAUUAAAUAAUUAAUUAAGAGUAUGACUUGGGUGGCUGGAGUCUUUGACCAUUUUUAGAACCUUCCUGACACCGCCUGGUAUAGAGGUCCUGGAUGGCAGGGAGCUCAGCCCCAGUGACGUAGUGGGCCAUACACACUACCUACUGUAGCGUCAAGCAACCAACCAUAGUAGAAACAUAAUCCUUAGAUGGCAGUUCCCAUUCAAAUCAAGACUGGCAGCCAUUGUUAGUA